UGACCUCGGAUCAGGUAGGAAUACCCGCUGAACUUAAGCAUAUUAAUAAGCGGAGGAAAAGAAAUUAAUAGGGAUUGCUCUAGUAAUGGCGAGUGAAGUAGUAAUAAUUUAAAUUUAAAAUUUAGCUUUAGCCCGAAUUAUAAUUUGUAGAAGAAGCUUUUAGUAAAGUACCUUCUAAAUCCCUUAGAACGGAGUAUUAUAGAGAGUAAGAGUCUUAUAUAAUUAGAUAUUAAUUUAAUAUAAAGCUCCUUCGACGAAUUAAAUAGUUUAAGAAUACUAUUUAAAAUAGGAAGUAAAUUUCUUUUAAAGUUAAAUAUUAGUUAGAAAUUAAUAGUAUAUAAGUAGAAUAAUCGAAAGAUGAAAAGUACUUUAAAAAGAGGGUUAAAUAGUACGUAAAAUUAUUAAAAGGGAAGCGUUUGUAAUUAAAUUUGUACUAUUCCAAUUAUUUAGUAUUUUUACUAAUAUAUUUAGGAUAAUUUAAAUUAAUAUCGGUUUUAGCGGAGGGAUAAAGGUUCGAAGAAUAUAAUUCCUCCGGGAGUAUUAUAGCCCUAGGCGUAAUACCCUCGUUAGGAUUAAGGUUUAUAUAUUUAUAAGGAUACUAAUAUAAUAGUUAUUAAUAACCCGUCUUGAAAUACAGAUUAAGGAAUUAAAGUUUUACGCAAGUAUUUAGGUAUAAAAUCCGUAUAUAUAAUAAAAGUAAAUAUAAGUAAGAGCUUCGGCGUAUUAUCGAUUAAUUUUAAUAUAUUUAGAUAGAUUUAAAUAAGAGUAUUAAAUUUUAAACCCGAAAGAUAGUAAACUAUAUUUAAAUAGAGUGAAGCUAGAAGAAACUUUAAUAGAGGCUUAUAACAGUUUUAAUAUACAAAUCGAUUAUUAAAUUUAAAUAUAGGGGCAAAAGAUUAAUUAAAUUAUUUAAUAGCUAAUUACCGCCGAAGUUUCCCUUAAGAUAGUAGUAUUGUUCUUUAGUUUUAUAAAGUAAAGCGAAUAAUUAAGGAUUCGGGGGCGCUUUUUAGCCUUUAUCUAUUCUUAAAUUUUAAAUAUAUAAGAAGCCCUUAUUAUUUAAUUGAAUAUGGGUAUUCGAAUAUAUUAAUAUUAGUGGGCUAUUUUUAGUAAGUAGAAUUAGCGAUAUAGAAUAAACCGAAUAUAGGGUUAAGGUAUUAGAGUAGACGUUUAUUAAAUACUAUAAAAAGUAUUAAUAUAUUUUAAUAGUAGGACGGUAGCUAUAGAAAUUAGAAUCUACUAAGGAUUAUAUAAUAAUUUACUUAUUAAAUAUAUUAACUUUGAAAAUAGAUAGCGCUUAAGCGUCCUACUUAUACCCCGCCCUUAGGGUAGAAAUAAUGCCCUAAGGAAUAGGUAGUUAUAGAGGUUAGUAACGAAGCUUAGGGCGUGAACUUGGGUUGAAUAGCCUUUAGUAUAGAUUUUAAUAGUAGUAAUAAAUAUUUUAAUAAGAAUUUGAAGGACUAAAGUAAGGAAAAGUUCUAUAUAAAUAGUAGUUAAAUAUAAAUUAAUCGAUCCUAAACUAUAGGGAAAUUCUAUUUCAAAGGGGUAUUUAUACCCUAUAUAGCGAAAGGGAAGCCGGUUAAUAUUCCGGUACUUAGAUGUGGGUUUUGUACAGCAAUAUAAUUAAAUAUGGAAACGACGGCGGGGGCCCCGGGUAGAAUUCUCUUUUCUUCUUAAUAGUCUAUUAUUUUAAAAAUAAUUUAUUUGGAGAUAGGGUUUAAUAGCCGGAAGAGUCCAACACUUUUAUUAGGUCCGGUACGCUUUUAACAUCCCUUAAAAAUCCGCGGGAGGGAAUAAUUCUUAUACUAGGUUGUACUUAUAAUUAUAGUAAGUCUUUAAGGUAAAUAGCUUUUAGUUAAUAGAAUAAUAUAAAUAAGGGAAAUUAAUAAAAUAGAUUUGUAAUUUUAGGAAAAGGAUUAGCUCUAAGGGUUAAGUAUAUUAGGCUUUAAGUAAACGCCCUAAGAGUAAAUCGCUACUAAUUAGGCAAUUAACUGGCAGUUUUUAGUAUCUAGGUAUAGAAGCCCUUAAUAAACUUCGGUCGUCCAAUAUAUAUUUAAUAAUUAAUUUAAAAUUAGUAUAGAUAGGAGGAAUUUAAUUAUCUAAUUAAAAUAUAGUAUUAUAAUAGCUAGAAAGUGGUAUUAAUAUAAUAUAAUUUCUAUUUAGUAUUUUAAAUAUUAAAGUAAAGAAAUUCAAUUAAAUAUAAGUAAAUAGUAGGAGUAACUAUAAUUCUCUUAAAGUAGCUAAAUACUUUAUUAUUUAAUUAAUAAUGUAUAUAAAUAGAUUAAUAAGAUUCCUACUAUCCCUAUUUACUAUUUAGCGAAACUAUAGUUAAGGGAAUAGGCUUAGUAGAAUUAGCGGAGAAAGAAGACCCUAUUGAGCUUAACUUUAAUUUAAUAUUAUAAAAAGAUAUAGGAGGUAUAGAAUAGGUAGGAACUUCGGCGCCGGUAAAAUACUAUUACUCUUAUUAUUUUUUUACUUAUUUAAUUAAGUAGGGCUAGAUUUUCGUCCAACUUCUAAUUUUAAAGUCCUUCGCGGGCCGACCUAGAUUAAAGAUAUUAUUAAGUAGGGAAUUUAAUUAGGACGGUAUAUUUAUUAAACUAUAAUAUAGGUAUCCUAAAGGGGGUUUAUAGAGAAUAGAAAUUUCUAAUAGAAUAAAAGGGUAAAAGUCCCCUUAAUUUUAAUUUUUAGUAUAAAUAUAAACUAUAAAAGUGUAGCCUAUCGAUCCUUUAGUCCCUCGAAAUUUAAAGCUAAAGGUAUUAGAAAAGUUAUUAUAGGGAUAAUUAGUUUAUAGCGGUUAAAUAUUUAUAGCAAUAUCGUUUUUUAAUCCUUUAAUAUUAGUUCUUCCUAUUAUACUAAAAUAGAAUUCAAUAAACAUUAAAUUAUUUAUUUACUAAUAGGGAAUAUAAAUUAGGUUUAGAUUAUUAUAAAAUAGGUUAGUUUUACCCUAUUAAUAACUUUAUUAUAAUAGUAAUUAAAUUUAGUACGAAAGGAACUACUUAUUUAAAUAAUUGGUUUUUGCGGUUAUUCGACCGGGUAGUAUUAUAAUACUACUAUUUACUAAAUAAUAAUUAAACGCCUUUAAAUUAAAAUCUAUACUAGAACGUAAUAAUACUUCUAAUAUAUUAUAAAUGUAUAAGAAUAGGUUCCGGCUUUAUAUUUUAGUAGGCGAUUCCUCUAUUAGCUUUAAAAUAGCUAGUAGUAAUUCGUAUAUUAUAAUUUUAAUACGCAUUAAAUUAAAUCCUUUAUAAACGAUUUAAAUAUACAAAAGGGUCCUAUAAGUAGUAGAGUAGCCUUAUUAUUACAAUUUACUAAGAGUAAGCCCUCCUUCGCCUAAAUUUCU
Molecule: ribosomal RNA, 3337 nt
Organism: Neurospora crassa OR74A
Lineage: Eukaryota; Fungi; Ascomycota; Sordariomycetes; Sordariales; Sordariaceae
Rfam family: Eukaryotic large subunit ribosomal RNA
Source: Rfam